ACUAACUCCUCCAGUAUGUGUUGAUGUGAAGUAGCUAGUUUGUUAGCUAAGCUAGCCACUUUAGCAAGCCCGUAACUCCUCCAGUAUGUGUUGAUGUCAUUUCACUGGAUAUAUUUUUGGAUGAAAGCUGUGGAGAUCGGAAAUUUCCACGACAUUUGGCGACGAGGAUGGGAUGUGAAUCUUUACUGGGUGACCUUUCCUGAUGAUCUUGGUAAAUAAAUUGUGCACGAGGGAUCCCUCAAACUUGGGAUCUUAGGGAAACCACACUUCGGGAACAAAGCAGAUUGACCAACCUUUGAUCUGAGUGCAAGCGAGCCGAGUGGAUACCACAUCUCAAGUUUUUUUUAAAGAAAGAGGAUUCCUUCUUCCGGGACGGAUGGAAGUUAUCUAAAAGAUGGAAGUUGAAGGAGCCAUGGGAGAACACGUCUACAUUUUUAUUAAAUGCGUGGGAUUAAAUUACUGAUAUCUUACACUGAGAAAUGUACUACAUUUGCGACAGAGGAAAACGUAUUACAUUUAGAUAGUAAGGAUAAUUGUAUCUAAGGGUAACAUGUUCAAUGAACCAUACAGUACAUAUACAUUGAUGUUGAUUACAACUUAUGAUUCAUGAUGUGAGGUACAGUGAAAUUAUCAUUAGGUUUGGUUUAUAGUUCACUUUUGAAAUUCUGAAUCGAUGUAGUGUAAUGAAUACUAACAAAGUGUUUUGUGUUUUUCUGGGAAAAUGGGUGUUUCAUUGUCUCUCUUUGAAAUGUUUCCUGGGACUAUAAUCUUGGGGAGAGUGAGUGAGAUUGAGGCCAUAAAUGACCAAAUUGAAAAGGGCCUGGAAGUUUUGUUUUUACCUUAAGGUUUGCAAAUACACACACAUAAAACAUUUGUUAUGACUAUUUGUUGGUGUUUUUAAAAUACUAUGAUGAUUUGUUUUUUAUUUCCUUUGGGUUUGGUGAGUUUUCCAUUUGUUUUAGUGGAAAGUUUUGUGAUAAAGGAAUGUUCUGGGAACCUGGGAUACAACAUGUAGGAACUAUUUGACUAUUGUUUGCAAUUUGUCUAAUAUAGUAAAAACAAAUAUUUGAAGGGUUUUGUAUAACCUAUGACCUCUAUGAUGACCUUCCGUUGUGGCUUGAUCACCCGCAUUGGAAAGCCAUUUGGAUAAUGAAUUUAUGGUAAUUUGUAAUACUGCUUUCAAGAUAAUUUGUGUAAUUGAUAAAUAUGUUUGAGUUUAUAGCUCUUAGCCAUAUUUGUAAUUUAGACCACUGUAAAGAAGGAGAGAGCAUUGCUUUUAAAUAAGGGUAUGUGGCUUUAAGUCUAUUUUCCUAUGACCAUUUGGGUUAAAUCAUUUUUCUUUGUGGGUUUUUUUCAGUUCAGUGAUUAUAAUUUGAUUAGGUUAUUUGAAUUCUAUUGUUUUAUUUUUUUCCAGUAGUAGUUUUUUUUUUUUUACAUUACUCACAUACGGAGAGAUAUGUGUAAAAAAUGGGGGAGGAUUCAGUUUUUUGUAGGUUUUGAAUUGAAGUUUAUACACCUUGAGUGAUAUGUGAAGGAGUGUAUUGUAUUGUAUUGUUGUGUUUGUUUUGUUCUAUUCCCGAGGGGUAUAGGUCUAAUUUAUUGAUCCUUGGCUCUACAAUGGAUUUGACAGUGAGAUGGGGAGUAUAAACCAAUUUGAAAGAAUAGUUUCAAUAGAAUGUGUUGUUAUUAUCUUUGAAAUAUGUUAAGCUAUAUGUAUUAAGUAAUACUUUAUCAUGUAGGUUAAUGAAAUGAACUAAACUGUUGUUCUGAUCUGUUCUUUCGAGGUUCUCAUGAAAAGUGACAUCAGACGGUAUCUUAAUGCAUGGAAGAGAUAAUUGGACCGAAUAGUGUGUGUACCUCAAAACCCCCUCUAACUGGCUGAAGAAGUGACAAAGGCGUUGAAGAAGCCCCUUCCGAACCACUUCUACCGAGAGAAAGGAACCAAGCCAGAAAUUGGUAUACAGUAUCAGAUAUAAGCUAUCAACUGCUUUUCUUUCAUGCUUCUCUCAGGAGUGUGAGACGACAGUCCACAUGGAGUGAUCAUGAAGAGAGAUCUGUUCUAACCUUUUCUUGUGAUACUGGUAUAUUGGUUGACGAAUGGACAAGACAUAAUGAGUGGUAAAGAUGAGACAUUGACAUUGGAUCAUUAUCAUGGGCCAUCCACUUUGAACUGUAUAGCUAUCUGAAAAAGAACGAAAAGGACGCCUGAAGAAUCAGUGCCUGAGAGGGGGGGUUGGUCAACUGUGCCAAUACAUUUUUUUUAUACUUUUGUGGUAUCAGGUUGAUUGUCGAGGUCUACACCAUGUAAAAUUAUAGUAAUUUAGAUUAAGAAUGCAUUGAGAUACCGAUCUGUAUUAUAAUCAUGAUUAAAAAAGUUAAUGGUAGAAUUAUGGGAUAAUUAUACUGAAUGUAUGUAAAAUCUGCUAAUAUUGAUGUGUGUUAAAUUGAGGUUUUUACUUUGAGUGAUAAGACCAAUUUGAAUCACUGAGGUAUGUCAUUGUAAAUUUUGGUUGGAUAAAUAGUUGGGUUGUUAAUUAUGAUUUGGAAUAUGAAUGAUUUCCCUGACAUAUUCUCUAUUCCUGACUACAUCUCUGAGCAUGAGGACUUAGAGGGAUGUCUGUCCUAUAUGUUGUGAGGAGGUCUGUGAUGAGAUACUAGUUCUCAUGUAAUUUAGGGAGCAUUUCUAUGUUAUGUUAUUAUUUUCCUCAAAUGGAUUAUUCUGUGUUCUUAAACAUGUGCAAGUUUGUCUUGUAGAAUAAAGGUUGUAAACUUAGUUUCAGGAGGGAGAAAAUGUACAUAAGCUAAGGUAUUUGACAUUGAGGGUAUUUUAUUUUUUAUUUUAUUUUAAAUAUUGAGUAUGUAAUCAAUGUUCUGAUUUUCCAGAAGGAACAAUAUCCCUGAGAGGGGAAUGUGGUAGCAGAAUCAGAAUCCUUUAGGUAACAUUGAUAAAUAAGUUUAUAAAUAUGUUUUAUCAAUUUUCAUAAGUAUGCUUAUCAGGCUUGUCUUCGUAUGUAAACGUAUAUUUUAAACCAUGUGAAGGGAUGAUUGAGGGGGAACCAAUUAUCUCUUGGCUCCACAAUGUCUGUGUGCCAGUCACUCCCUUAUUUCCCAUUGGGGGGAUGAGGAUGGCAGUGUCUGGAACCACUGUAUGUUCCCUCUGAGGUUGCCCUUAUCUUGCUUGACCUAGAGGCUCACUCUUCUCUCUGUAAGCUUGUCCAGGAGGGGUUGUAUUUUUUUAUGGGAGUAUCUAGAAACUGACAAUUGAUAUGACAAAUGCCAUUGGAUAAGGUAAUAUUUUGGUUCUAAGUGGUACCAAGAAUGAUAUAGGAACAUAGUUUAGGAGACCAAACUGAACUAUAAUUUAUAGCCAAUGCUGUCUGGCUAUGUGUGUCUUUGCUAUAAAGGAUAUCAGUUGCCAUUUUGUAAGCACUCAGAUAAUUAAUUUAUGGACACUGAACUGAUCUGAGAGUCACAGUGCUAUGGUGAAGCUCAUAUAAUUAAAGAUGGACUUUAUGAUA
This is a long non-coding RNA of Oncorhynchus keta (chum salmon), 3518 nucleotides long. RefSeq lists it as uncharacterized. NCBI's taxonomy places the organism in Eukaryota, Metazoa, Chordata, Actinopteri, Salmoniformes, Salmonidae. The transcript has 3 exons. The record is from RefSeq and is a predicted model, not a curated record.